RNAcentral lists this unclassified non-coding RNA (275 nucleotides) under uncultured fungus. RNAcentral describes it as "sequence contains ITS1, 5.8S rRNA gene". The stretch from base 227 to 275 matches the Rfam family "5.8S ribosomal RNA", at positions 1 to 49 of the family's 154-position model. Lineage: Eukaryota; Fungi. The record is from RNAcentral.
UUUCCGUAGGUGAACCUGCGGAAGGAUCAUUAACCUUUCAAAAAACAGGGUGCGUCGCGGCCCCCCUCCGGGGGCGGUUUGGGGUCCUCCCCUUCACGCGCGCACGACUGCAUCCUUACUUUACGAGCACCUUCUGUUCUCCCUCGGCGGGGCAACCUGCCGUUGGAACUUAACAAAACCUUUUUUUGCAUCUAGCAUUACCUGUUCUGAUACAAACAAUCGUUACAACUUUCAACAAUGGAUCUCUUGGCUCUGGCAUCGAUGAAGAACGCAGC